This 433-nucleotide ribosomal RNA is filed under the name uncultured bacterium. RNAcentral describes it as "partial 16S ribosomal RNA". It matches the Rfam family "Bacterial small subunit ribosomal RNA", at positions 36 to 507 of the family's 1533-position model. The record is from RNAcentral.
CCCUCCCUCUUUCUUCAUGCCUAACACAUGCAAGUCGAACGAGACCUUCGGGUCUAGUGGCGCAAGGGUGCGUAACGCGUGGGAACCUGCCCUUAGGUUCGGAAUAACUCCCCGAAAGGGGUGCUAAUACCGGAUAAUGUCUUCGGACCAAAGAUUUAUCGCCUAUGGAUGGGCCCGCGUUGGAUUAGCUAGGUGGUAGGGUAAAAGCCUACCAAGGCGACGAUCCAUAGCUGGUCUGAGAGGAUGAUCAGCCACACUGGGACUGAGACACGGCCCAGACUCCUACGGGAGGCAGCAGUGGGGAAUAUUGGACGAUGGGCGAGAGACUGAUCCAGCAAUGCCGCGUGAGUGAUGAAGGCCUUAGGGUUGUAAAGCUCUUUUACCCGGGAUGAGAAUGACAGUACCGGGAGAAUAAGCGCCGGCUAACUCCGUG